RNAcentral lists this ribosomal RNA (221 nucleotides) under uncultured bacterium. Its description in RNAcentral is "partial 16S ribosomal RNA". It matches the Rfam family "Bacterial small subunit ribosomal RNA", at positions 524 to 744 of the family's 1533-position model. The record is from RNAcentral.
UACGUAGGGUGCAAGCGUUAUCCGGAAUUAUUGGGCGUAAAGAGCUCGUAGGCGGUUUGUCGCGUCUGCUGUGAAAACCUAAGGCUCAACCUUGGGCUUGCAGUGGGUACGGGCAGACUAGAGUGCGGUAGGGGUGACUGGAAUUCCUGGUGUAGCGGUGAAAUGCGCAGAUAUCAGGAGGAACACCGGUGGCGAAGGCGGGUCUCUGGGCCGAUACUGAC